AACGCUGGCGGCGUGCCUGACACAUGCAAGUCGUACGGUCCGUGAUUGAUCAAGCUUGCUUGAUUGGUCGUGGAUAGUGGCGGACGGGUGAGUAACGCGUGAACACCUACCCAUUGGAGGGGUACAACCCGUCGAAAGGCGGGCUAAUACCGCGUAAGCCGCGAGGUGAAAGGCUGCCUUUUGGUGGCUGCCGAUGGAUGGGUUCGCGUCCUAUCAGCUUGUUGGUGGGGUAAUGGCCUACCAAGGCGAAGACGGGUAGCCGGUCUGAGAGGAUGGCCGGCCACACUGGAACUGAGACACGGUCCAGACUCCUACGGGAGGCAGCAGUGGGGAAUCUUGGGCAAUGGGGGGGACCCUGACCCAGCGACGCCGCGUGAGGGACGAAGGUUUUCGGAUCGUAAACCUCUGUUGUACGGGAAGAAGGAUGUGACGGUACCGUACGAGUAAGCCCCGGCAAACUACGUG
This 465-nucleotide ribosomal RNA is filed under the name uncultured bacterium. RNAcentral describes it as "bacterial SSU rRNA". It matches the Rfam family "Bacterial small subunit ribosomal RNA", at positions 32 to 507 of the family's 1533-position model. The record is from RNAcentral.